This 432-nucleotide ribosomal RNA is filed under the name uncultured bacterium. RNAcentral's name for it is "partial 16S ribosomal RNA". It matches the Rfam family "Bacterial small subunit ribosomal RNA", at positions 29 to 506 of the family's 1533-position model. The record is from RNAcentral.
AACGAACGCUGGCGGCAUGCCUAACACAUGCAAGUCGAACGAGACCUUCGGGUCUAGUGGCGCACGGGUGCGUAACGCGUGGGAACCUGCCCUUAGGUUCGGAAUAACUCCCCGAAAGGGGUGCUAAUACCGGAUAAUGUCUUCGGACCAAAGAUUUAUCGCCUUUGGAUGGGCCCGCGUUGGAUUAGCUAGUUGGUAGGGUAAAAGCCUACCAAGGCGACGAUCCAUAGCUGGUCUGAGAGGAUGAUCAGCCACACUGGGACUGAGACACGGCCCAGACUCCUAGGGGAGGCAGAAGUGGGGAAAAUGGGAAAAUGGGGGAAAGCCUGACCCAGCAAUGCCGGGUGAGUGAGGAAGGCCUUAGGGUUGUAAAGCUCUUUUCCCCGGGAUGAUAAUGACAGUACCGGGAGAAUAAGCCCCGGCUAACUCCGG